CCUACGGGAGGCAGCAGUGGGGAAUUUUGGACAAUGGGCGCAAGCCUGAUCCAGCCAUGCCGCGUGUGUGAAGAAGGCCUUCGGGUUGUAAAGCACUUUCGGCCGGAACGAAAUCGCGCGGGCUAUUACCCCGCGUGGAUGACGGUACCGGAAGAAGAAGCACCGGCUAACUACGUGCCAGCAGCCGCGGUAAUACGUAGGGUGCGAGCGUUAAUCGGAAUUACUGGGCGUAAAGGGUGCGCAGGCGGCGUCGCAAGUCAGGCGUGAAAUCCCCGGGCUUAACCUGGGAAUUGCACUUGAAACUACGAUGCUGGAGCAUGGCAGAGGGAGGUGGAAUUCCACGUGUAGCGGUGAAAUGCGUAGAGAUGUGGAGGAACACCGAUGGCGAAGGCAGCCUCCUGGGCCAAUACUGACGCUCAUGCACGAAAGCGUGGGGAGCAAACAGGAUUAGAUACCCUGGUAGUCCACGCCCUAAACGAUGAUGACUAGUUGUUGGAGGAGUUAAAUCCUUUAGUAACGCAGCUAAUGCGAGAAGUCAUCCGCCUGGGGAGUACGGUCGCAAGAUUGAAACUCAAAGGAAUUGACGG
RNAcentral lists this ribosomal RNA (587 nucleotides) under uncultured bacterium. RNAcentral describes it as "bacterial SSU rRNA". It matches the Rfam family "Bacterial small subunit ribosomal RNA", at positions 338 to 916 of the family's 1533-position model. The record is from RNAcentral.